UGAGACCGACAAGGGGCAAUGAUUGAGGGGCACAUUGGAGUGAUUAUCAUGGGAAUCUGAUACGGAAGCAGAAGCGGUGGUGAUGACUGAUGAUAUGUGUGAAGAGAACAGACAGACACAUUAAGUGGGGAAGUCGGCGCGUCGACGUUGGACUGAAGAUACAAGGAAGUGCCAGGUGCUGUCUAAUACUACUCAUUUGUUUUUUUGUGAUGUGAGUGACCACUUUUGAUUCAAAACCUUUCUGCCUGUCUAAAUGUUCUAAUUCAAUAGUGUGUUGACCCAAAACCCAAAUCUAUAAAACUGAAAAUGAAUCUGUCCAACUUAAAAUUAUUUCGAGACUUAGUUGGACUAUUAACUUGUUAGAUGGAUGAUCAUUUAAUUUCUCAUAUUUUUUAUUUUUUAUUGAAUUUUAGUUUUUAACAGUGUAAAAUAUAUUAUUAGAUCUUACCUUUUCAUAGGCUAUUGAGGAGUGAAUGAAGAAACGUAAAUAGUGGAUAAACAAUCUCUUAUUAAUUAAAUUAAUCUCAUGAAUUUAAGGAAAUUGGAUAUUUGGCUGUGUGAAUAUGUUUUGUGAGUGAGAUAGAAAGACAUGAUAAGAGAGAAAUUUUGAGAUGAGAAUGAGAGAGUAAAAUGAUGAAAUUUUGAGAUGAGGAUGAGAGAGUAAAAUGAUGAGAGAGAGUAAAAUGAUGAAAGAGAGAUAUAGAGAUAAAUUGUUGCAUAGAGUGUACUAGAGAUGAUACUCCGUGUAUAUAAAUCUAAAUUUAAGAUAUAAAUAUAUAGGGUUUCUUUUUUAAAUCAAUGUAACCCAUAUGCAAAUGUGGAGAUUAAUUCUCUAAAUAAAUGAGAUUUAUUUAAAAGAUUGAUUUCUUCCAACAUAUAAUUUUGUUAACCUUGUGUGUUAGUGUCGUGUACAAUGUCUUUGCCAGUGUUUCAUAGGUUGUUCUUUUUACUUAGUGUUUAUACUUAUUGUGCAUAUCAUGCAUAUGUCAAUACAAUAGAAGAAGAAUCGUUGACGAGGUUGAUUUCUCAACUAAAUUCUAUAUCGAUAAUCGUACCAGCAUGAGGGAUGGUGAAGAUGCUUAGGAUUUUGAAAUCUUAUGGACUUGUUGGAUUAUGAUAAAUGAUAUUUCACAUCUUUUGUAUAUGAAUAAAUAACAAUAAUAAUAGUAACAUGUGAAAAUGUUCAGAAUCAAACAUGUUUCUUUUAUAAAAAAAAAUUGUUUAUAUGAAGAAAAAAAAAAUCUAAGUGGUGUAUAAACUACGUGGAAGGAAAAAGAUGAAACAAUUUGUUUAAAUUUGCCACAAAUGUUUUAGAAAGAACUUGUUUAAAAUAAGGUUAACAAUAGAGACCAAUCUAACUGACUAUAAUUAAUUUUAUAGCCUUUAUAAGUGUUAUUAUGAAAUGAAUUUUGAUCAAGAAAAACGGACAAUACCUCAUAUAGAAAAUAUAUUUGAAUAAUACUUGAAGCAUAAUAAUAGUACAUACAUUAAUUCAUUUAAUAGUCUAAACUUAAUGGACCUCCUUGAAAAUGUCUCCUCAUAACUGAUGUCAUGUGUCUCAGUAUAUCCUUUUGCCACUAGUCUAGACUUGUAACAAUCAAGGGUAUCAUCUCAUUUAUGUGUAACUUCAAAGUCUACCUACAUCCAAUUGGCUUCUUACCUCUCAACAAUCUCCCAAGUUCCAUUUUUCUCACGUGCUUUCAUUUCUUCAUACAUAGUUGGGACUUAAUUUUUGUCUUGCAUUGCUUCAUGAACAUAUGAUGGGAUUUUCACAGAGUCAACAACUAAAAUAAAAAUCUAAUACUGCGAGAAAGAUGUUUAGAGGAGAAAAAUUGAGAAAUAGGUUAUCUAUAUUUAGAGACACAAGAUCUUUUAUCCUUUCUCAAAUAGGUAAAUCAUCUAGAUUGGUAUCAGAAGUCUGAGAAUCACCAAUAAAGGGAUCAUUUUCAGUAUUUGCAUUGACUCGAGCGAUGAAUUAGUACCACAAGUACUAGAAGAAUGGACCCACCAAUAGAGGGAUCAUUUUCAGUAUUUACCUUUGGCUCAAGCGAUUGAAGUUGUUUUUGGAGCAUGUUAGGUUUACUUCUUCUUUGAUAAACAAGAAUUGGCUUACUAGCUCGAUCUUCAACUAGUGGAGACUUGGAUUCAGAAUUAUGAGAUGUAGCAGAAAUACGAGUCUCGUGAUAGUUAGGACCAAGGUCCAUAAAUUCAAACUCAAAUUUCAAGUCAUUCAUUUUCUCCCUUUGAAGUUGAGGGCGAAUGAAGUAAGAAAUAUUUUCAUAAAAGGUUACAUCUUUCGAAACAAAGUACUUAUGACAGAGAGGAUGAUAAUAUUUGUACCCUCUUUUGUUAGGAGGAUAACGCACAAUGACACAUCUAACUACUCGAGAAUCCAACUUAGUUUGGUGUUGCUUAUGAAUAUGGACAAAAACAACAUAUCCAAAUACUCGAGGCUCUAAAUGAUAGAAUUAAAAGGAAAAAGUUAGGUCAUACAUUGAACUAUACUAGCAUUAGUUUAAACACAAGAUGACACACAAUUAAUUAGAUAAAAAGCUAUCAGUACUGCUUCACCCCAAUAUGAUUUUGGGACAGACAUUUGGAAGAGAAGAGCUCAAGUAGCUUUAAGUAGGCGACAAUUUUUCUUUUAUGUAACUCCAUUUUGUUGUGGGGCGUCAACACAUGUGAAUUCAUGAAUAAUCCCUUGUUUACUAUUAAAACUUGAACGAUUGUGAUUGACAUAAUUCUUGUCAUUACCAAAAUGUAAUCUUUUAAUGGCUUUUCCAAAUUGUGUUUGUAUCAUCUUGUAAAAUUGAAUGAACAAUUGAGGUACUUCUAAUUUAUCCUUGAUCAAAUAAAUCCAAGUUACUUGAGUACAAUUAUCAAUAAACAAAACAAACCAUCUCACCACAGAAAUGUUAGAAGUAUGAGCAUAUACAUAAAUAUUAGAAUGAAUAAGAUCAAAUGCAUCAACUAGUAGGACUUGAAGGGAAAUUUGCAUGAUGAUGCUUAGCUUACUGAUAAAUAUCACAUUUAAAUGAUUCAAAAUAUUUUUUAUAAACAAAUAUCACAUCAAAGAGAUAUGAGGAUGACCAAGACGCUUGUGUUGAAGUCGUAUUUGUGAGGCAUGAAAGUCUGGUUGGGGAAUAACAUCUUGUUUUCGCGUGUCAAUGAUAUUGGGGGUAGGCAUGAAUGAUAGUUUGUGACACACGCCACGAUCCAUUAGAUAUUUGUCUCAUUCUGUAUCAUUCCAUUACUUUAAAAUUAUCCAAAAAAAGCAUUGAUAAAUUUGUUAACGAGGAUAUCAUUGGACCAAUGAUCACACCAAUUUUUUUUCCACCAAUACCAAGUUACCAUUUGUUGCUCUCUUAGAUUGGAUACCACUCCAAAGAGAAGAAUUAAUACGACAUGAAAUGGGACCAUGACUUCUCAAGUGUUGGGGAAUCAUGAGAUACAUUUUAAAACUCUUCUUAAAGUUAGUCUCAAGAGCGAAAAAUUAUUUAAGUCAAGGAUCACGUAUACACAAAAUUUCUAAAGAAAGGUUUAUGUGUUGACUUUUGAAGCAUUGGGAGGAUAAAAAUUACCAUCACGGGAAAUCGAUUUUGAAUCAUGCUUUAACUUUGAUCACUAAGUAAAUUAAUAACGUCUCUACAUAGGUCACAUGAGCACAAAAUGGAACGUGGAGCUACCUAAUCUAUGAGGGGAUAGUGGCAAUAAAGAUUACUUGAGAACGUGCUCUUUUACUAUUUAUAGAAAAUGAGUUACUAAAACCCUAAGACUCCAUUUUUUGCUGAGCCCAAAACAACUCAUAAAUGAUUAUAUUUAAUUUAACUCUUUUAAUUAAGUUAAAUUAUAUUUAAUUCAAUUAAUUGUCGACCAUCAUUUACUUGAUCAAAUCAAAUUUAAUUAAAUAAAUUAUAAAUAUAUUAAUGUAUUAAAUCAUAUUUAAUAUGAUUAAAAUCUAAUUAAAUCAAAUCUUAUUUUAUUUAAUCAUUCAUUUCGUUGUCAGUUCAUGUGACCCUUAUGUCAUUCUUGCAACGUUCAAGUCUAUAUUUUUUGAUUCUAGAGUAAACAUACAAAACCAAAGCAUUUCUACGGUUUCACUAUAUCGAGUGGUCCAAGACAUAACUCAUGUUAUGUAGGAGAGACAAAUUCUAUCUAUAUCACUCGCACUCAUCUACAUGGUUUAGUAUAGAUCCAAUAACUACCUUUAUCAUUGUCUUGUUACAGAUAACGUUUGAUGACUUUAAAGCCUACAACUUCCCAUAUAGAAAUCAUAGUGACUUUUAAGUCGAACGACUAGUCAUUAUGGUCACAUGAGAAUCACUAAUGACACUUACACAACAAUUAUGUAGCAUUCUCAUUGCGAAUCAAUUCAAUAUAAUUAUUACUCCUAAUAUUUAUAUCUAUGUGACGACUUGAUAUAUUAUAUUCAUGACCCGUGAUAUGUGAUCAUCAGUCUACUCACAUAAUAGUCUCGAUGUAUCAUUGUCAUCUUAAUUAACAAUAAUAUUUGAAAUACGGUUACUUUAUGAAUAGUAUUCUAAUGUACAAUAUGGUAUCACGAUCAAGUCACACUUGAUGUUCUAUGAAAUGAACUAUUUAUUAUAAGAACUUUAUUAUAUUAUAUAAUUAAUAACAUAAUAAAUGAUGUCUUGUACAUAUAACUAAAAUUAAAUAUUUAAUUUAAAUUCAUAAUAUGAUUAAUAAUCUAUAAUAAAAAAUAGAAUGGCGCUAGGAUUUAUUCAAUAUCAAGACCAUAGCUUUUAAGAGAGUAGCCCAUUAAUUAAUCGAAUUAUUAUUGAUCCCAUGCCUCUUCAUUGAGAGUACACGAUUUUUUCCAAGUUGCAGUGAUGAGUAAAAAUCUCAUGAAUGUUAGCGACCCAAAUAAAAUUCCUUAUCCAUUGGUCUAUUAUUUCCUUUUAGCAUAAAUAUAUGCCAAGAAUAUAUAAAAAAAAACUAUAAAUAAACAUGCCUUGGAUGAUACUUUUGACAAAUUGAACUAUUUCUCCCAAAGAUAAUAAAAAAUGUUUCCAAACUGAAACCUUAGCUUGGGCUCCCAGGCCCAAUUAGUCCACCCUGCACUCGAGGGUCUAAAAACAAAACAAAAAAAAGUCUACAAUUAAAAAACAUAAUCAAAUUUUAUGAACAAAAAAAAAAGACCUAAUUCUUUUUGACAAAUAAAUGAAAGAAAAAAAAAUAGAAUCAAUUUUUCAAUAGUAUUUACAUUUUUUUCUCUUUUUUUUUCUUAUAUUAUUAAUGUUAUUUACAAUUUAAAUAAAUAAUGUUUUUUUUUUAGUUUUUAGUGUUUAUUUUUAUUGAUUGCCCAAUUUUUUAAAUUACAACAAAAUCUCCAAAAUAUUUGACACACUAUAUUGAGUUUUAUCUAUUAUGGGUUGUUGGUUUAGGUUUUCCCUUUUAAAAUAUGACUGCCAAGAUAUAUUGAAGGUAUAGUGUCAAGAGAAAAACCCAAUAAAUCAACAAUAGCCAGCUUCCUAGAAUUAGGAACAGAACCUGCAAAAAUAUUUGAAGAUUCUUCAAAUUAUACAUUGUGGCCUUACAUAAAGAGCAUUAGGAGGAGUUUGGGUACCCCUAGGACCAUUAAUUAAAGCUAGCUUACCAAUAUCAACCAGUUGGGUUAUGCUUCUACUUAAAACUUCUUAUGCGACAUGAUCUUCAAAGUAGAAGCUGACAUGAUUCUCAAUAGCCACAUAAUUAGUAAGAAGCUAAAUGUUGAUGAAUCAAAGAGGUGAUAUGAGGCCUACUCCAAAGAGGAUUACCAAUGCCCCUUAUAUUCCAAAGAUAGCACUUCAUUGGACAAAUUUUAUAGUCCUUACACUUGUACUGUUCCUUGGAUAUAGACCAAGAAUGGUGCUUUUUCCUUAUGCUCUUUUUCUACUGAUUUUUGUAAAGGAGACAAUUUUCAUGUUCC
This 5929-nucleotide long non-coding RNA is filed under the name Cicer arietinum (chickpea). Its description in RNAcentral is "long non-coding RNA (CARI_LNC000316)". Lineage: Eukaryota; Viridiplantae; Streptophyta; Magnoliopsida; Fabales; Fabaceae. The record is from RNAcentral.